RNAcentral lists this unclassified non-coding RNA (186 nucleotides) under plant metagenome. RNAcentral's name for it is "partial contains small subunit ribosomal RNA and internal transcribed spacer 1". The stretch from base 1 to 45 matches the Rfam family "Eukaryotic small subunit ribosomal RNA", at positions 1787 to 1831 of the family's 1831-position model. The record is from RNAcentral.
AGUCGUAACAAGGUUUCCGUAGGUGAACCUGCGGAAGGAUCAUUAAAGAAUUAGGCUUCGCGGCCAAGUUCUCACCCUUUGUAUAUCGAAACCAUGUUGCUUUGGCAGGCCCCUGCAUUUCUCGGGCCUGCCAGAGGUUAUAAACCCUAGAAUCUCUGCUGUCUGAGUACUAUACAAUAGUUAAAA